UACUGAACGUCCAGGGCCGGGCAGACGCUCCGAAAGCUGUGUGUGAAUGCGAGGUCAGUCUUGAGUUCCUGGUCCUUUUACCUCUACCUUCACAUCAGAACAACAAAGCUACAUUUUGGCUCCUGCUGUCGUGACACCAUCCACCAUUAGGUGGCCACCGAAGGCCAAACUCCACCCUUUCCC
Nannospalax galili (Upper Galilee mountains blind mole rat) is the source of this 183-nucleotide long non-coding RNA. RefSeq lists it as uncharacterized. The transcript is spliced from 3 exons. NCBI's taxonomy places the organism in Eukaryota, Metazoa, Chordata, Mammalia, Rodentia, Spalacidae. The record is from RefSeq and is a predicted model, not a curated record.